Molecule: ribosomal RNA, 567 nt
Filed under: Paenibacillus sp. UFLA03-12
Lineage: Bacteria; Bacillati; Bacillota; Bacilli; Caryophanales; Paenibacillaceae
Description: bacterial SSU rRNA
Rfam family: Bacterial small subunit ribosomal RNA
Source: RNAcentral
CGGCGGACGGGUGAGUAACACGUGGGUAACCUGCCCAUAAGACUGGGAUAACAUUCGGAAACGAAUGCUAAUACCGGAUACGCGAAACGGUCGCAUGGCCGAAUCGGGAAAGGCGGAGCAAUCUGCCACUUAUGGAUGGACCCGCGGCGCAUUAGCUAGUUGGUGGGGUAACGGCUCACCAAGGCGACGAUGCGUAGCCGACCUGAGAGGGUGAUCGGCCACACUGGGACUGAGACACGGCCCAGACUCCUACGGGAGGCAGCAGUAGGGAAUCUUCCGCAAUGGACGAAAGUCUGACGGAGCAACGCCGCGUGAGUGAUGAAGGUUUUCGGAUCGUAAAGCUCUGUUGCCAGGGAAGAACGCUUACGAGAGUAACUGCUCGUAAGGUGACGGUACCUGAGAAGAAAGCCCCGGCUAACUACGUGCCAGCAGCCGCGGUAAUACGUAGGGGGCAAGCGUUGUCCGGAAUUAUUGGGCGUAAAGCGCGCGCAGGCGGCCUUGUAAGUCUGUCGUUUAAACUCGGAGCUCAACUUCGAGUCGCGAUGGAAACUGCAAAGCUUGAGUGCA